RNAcentral lists this long non-coding RNA (596 nucleotides) under Lactuca sativa (garden lettuce). Its description in RNAcentral is "long non-coding RNA (LSAT_LNC006314)". Lineage: Eukaryota; Viridiplantae; Streptophyta; Magnoliopsida; Asterales; Asteraceae. The record is from RNAcentral.
UUGUCUAUGAACGUGUACGAAACGAGAUGCGUGGCGAAAUGGAUGCUAAAGCUGCAGAAAUGGAAGCUAAACAUCAACAAAUGCGUGAGGAAAUGGAUGCCAAAGCUGCAGCAAUAGAUGCCAAACAACAACAAAUUGAUGCAAAAUAUGAAGCAAUGGAGAAGAUGUAUGCAGCCUUGCAAAAUAUGAUGGGAAAUUGAAAAGUAGAGGUAAUAUGAUGUUAACCAUUAGUAUUUGAUGUUUUUGAAUGACUUGUUAACCUUUUGUAUUUGAUGUUUUUGAUUGUUUUGAAUAAUGUUUUAUAGGAAUGAGAACCGAAGAUGAUUGGAUGGACAUGAAAUGAAGAUAUCAGCUAAAAUGUUAUUUUGAAGGUUAAACUUUUUUCUGUUUGUACCUCUUUUGCAUACUUUGGAUUUCUUGGUUCGAAAAUGUUAUUUUGAAGUUAAACCGUUGGGAGUUUGCUGUUAUGUGGAUAGUUUCGUUUUUGGAUGUUUCUUGAAUGACACUUUGGUAAACUUUGAUAGUUUUGGUAUUGUAAUGCUUGGUUGUAUCAUUAUUUGAUGUUCUUUAGUAUAAUAAUUUGAUGAUUGUAGUAU